Molecule: ribosomal RNA, 496 nt
Filed under: uncultured bacterium
Lineage: Bacteria
Description: partial 16S ribosomal RNA
Rfam family: Bacterial small subunit ribosomal RNA
Source: RNAcentral
AUUGAACGCUGGCGGAAUGCGUUACACAUGCAAGUCGAACGGUAGAGGGGGCAACCCCUCGAGAGUGGCGAACGGGUGAGUAAUAUAUCGGAACGUGCCCAGCCGUGGGGGAUAAAGUAGCGAAAGUUACGCUAAUACCGCAUACGAUCUAAGGAUGAAAGCGGGGGAUCGCAAGACCUCGCGCGAUCGGAGCGGCCGAUAUCAGAUCAGGUAGUUGGUGGGGUAAAGGCUCACCAAGCCAACGAUCGGUAGCUGGUCUGAGAGGACGACCAGCCACACUGGAACUGAGACACGGUCCAGACUCCUACGGGAGGCAGCAGUGGGGAAUUUUGGACAAUGGACGCAAGUCUGAUCCAGCCAUUCCGCGUGCAGGAUGAAGGCCCUCGGGUUGUAAACUGCUUUUGUACGGAACGAAAAGGUCUCUCUUAAUACGGGGGACUCAUGACGGUACCGUAAGAAUAAGCACCGGCUAACUACGUGCCAGCCGCCGCCGUAA